UGGGGCGUAGCCAAGUGGUAAGGCAACGGUUUUUGGUACCGUCAUUCCCUGGUUCGAAUCCAGGCGCCCCAGCCA
RNAcentral lists this transfer RNA (75 nucleotides) under Pararhodospirillum oryzae. RNAcentral's name for it is "tRNA-Gln". It matches the Rfam family "tRNA". From Rfam's summary of the family: Transfer RNA (tRNA) molecules are approximately 80 nucleotides in length. Lineage: Bacteria; Pseudomonadati; Pseudomonadota; Alphaproteobacteria; Rhodospirillales; Rhodospirillaceae. The record is from RNAcentral. RNAcentral also lists the same sequence under 4 other names.